UCUAGAUCAAGAGAAAAACGUCAGGAGAAAUUACCUGAGAAAGACUCAAUAAAGCCAGAUAAAACGAAUUCUAAACAUGAAAAGGAAGAACAAAUGAAAGAUGGCACAAUUAUAAAGAUAAUUCAAGAUAUAAUAAUACGGCCCACCAGCAAGACAGCUGUUAAAGAAGAAGACGCCCCUACAGAAAAAAACAAAUCAGAGACUGCGAAAACAGCUAAACCAAUAGGACGAAUACAUAAUAAGCAAGCUCAGAAAAAAAAUAGUUCACUUCGUCAGCCGAA
This is a long non-coding RNA of Cydia strobilella, 281 nucleotides long. RefSeq lists it as uncharacterized. Lineage: Eukaryota; Metazoa; Arthropoda; Insecta; Lepidoptera; Tortricidae. The record is from RefSeq and is a predicted model, not a curated record. The transcript is spliced from 3 exons.